This 756-nucleotide ribosomal RNA is filed under the name Glomeromycotina sp. OTU20 DJMC-2012. RNAcentral's name for it is "eukaryotic LSU rRNA". It matches the Rfam family "Eukaryotic large subunit ribosomal RNA", at positions 49 to 656 of the family's 3401-position model. Lineage: Eukaryota; Fungi; Glomeromycota. The record is from RNAcentral. RNAcentral also lists the same sequence under 3 other names.
AGCGGAGGAAAAGAAACUAACAAGGAUUCCCCUAGUAACGGCGAGUGAAGAGGGAAGAGCUCAAAUUUUAAAUCUGCCUUGUUCCAAGGUCGAGUUGUAAUUUGAAGAAGCGUUUUCUUGGGCUCGCGGCCGGUAGAAGUUCUUUGGAACAGGACAUCAUAGAGGGUGACAAUCCCGUCCGUGACCGGUCGUGCGUUCAUCUACGAUACGCUUUCAAAGAGUCGAGUUGUUUGGGAUUGCAGCUCCAAACGGGUGGUAAACAUCACCUAAGGCUAAAUAUUGGCGAGAGACCGAUAGCGAACAAGUACCGUGAGGGAAAGAUGAAAAGAACUUUGAAAAGAGAGUUAAACAGUACGUGAAAUUGUUGAAAGGGAAACGAUUGAAGUCAGUCGUGCUGGCGCGAAAUCAACCCUCUCGUCUUGAGAUCACAUGGCGCGACGAGCCUCAAAACCGUCACGAAGCGUGAACUCUUGACGAAAAGGUGCACUUUCGUGUCCGCUGGUUAACAUCAAUUUCGAACGUCAUAAAAAGGCUGGAGGGAUGUGGCUCCUUCGGGAGUGUUAUAACCUUUAGCGGAAUGUGGCGUUCGGGAUUGAGGAUUGCAACGAAUACCUUCAGGGCUGUUCCACCUGGCUUCUCAUUGGUAUCCUGGUGACGACAGCUUGCUGACGUCGUUAGGAUCAGCUUCUGAACAGGCUAGAGUGUGAGCAAAUUCGUUAAGGAUGUUAACGUAAUGGCUUUAAACGACCCGUCUUG